RNAcentral lists this non-coding RNA (117 nucleotides) under Homo sapiens (human). Lineage: Eukaryota; Metazoa; Chordata; Mammalia; Primates; Hominidae. The record is from Rfam by way of RNAcentral.
GCUGGGCGUGGUGGCUCACGCCUGUAAUCCCAGCACUUUGGGAGGCCGAGGCGGGUGGAUCACCUGAGGUCAGGAGUUUGAGACCAGCCUGGCCAACAUGGCGAAACCCCGUCUCUA